AAAAACNUUACCUACCCUUGACAUGUCCAGAAGCCUGAAGAGAUUUGGGUGUGCCCGAAAGGGAACUGGAACACAGGUGCUGCAUGGCUGUCGUCAGCUCGUGUCGUGAGAUGUUGGGUUAAGUCCCGCAACGAGCGCAACCCUUGUCGUUAAUUGCCAUCAUUCAGUUGGGCACUUUAACGAGACUGCCGGUGACAAACCGGAGGAAGGUGGGGAUGACGUCAAGUCCUCAUGGCCCUUAUGGGUAGGGCUUCACACGUCAUACAAUGGUCGGUACAGAGGGUUGCCAAGCCGCGAGGUGGAGCCAAUCCCAGAAAGCCGAUCGUAGUCCGGAUCGCAGGCUGCAACUCGCCUGCGUGAAGUCGGAAUCGCUAGUAAUCGCGGAUCAGCAUGUCGCGGUGAAUACGUUCCCGGGUCUUGUACACACCGCCCGUCACACCAUGGGAGCGGGUUCCGCCAGAAGUAGGUAGCCUAACCGCAAGGAGGGCGCUUACCACGGCGGGGUUCGUGACUGGGGUGAAGUCGUAACAAGGUAGCCGUAGGGGAACCUGCGGCUGGAUCACCUCCUU
This 569-nucleotide ribosomal RNA is filed under the name uncultured Dechloromonas sp. Its description in RNAcentral is "bacterial SSU rRNA". It matches the Rfam family "Bacterial small subunit ribosomal RNA", at positions 964 to 1532 of the family's 1533-position model. Lineage: Bacteria; Pseudomonadati; Pseudomonadota; Betaproteobacteria; Rhodocyclales; Azonexaceae. The record is from RNAcentral.